Molecule: ribosomal RNA, 117 nt
Filed under: Eptatretus burgeri (inshore hagfish)
Lineage: Eukaryota; Metazoa; Chordata; Myxini; Myxiniformes; Myxinidae
Source: RNAcentral
GCCUACGACCAUACCACUCUGAAUACGCCCGAUCUCGGAAGCUAAGCAGGUGCGGGCCCGGUUACCAGGUGAGUACCUGGAUGGGAGACUGCCUGGGAACACCGGGUGUUGUACGCU